This 153-nucleotide unclassified non-coding RNA is filed under the name soil metagenome. RNAcentral's name for it is "partial internal transcribed spacer 1". The record is from RNAcentral.
CUGAGUGAGGGCCUUCGGGCUCGACCUCCAACCCUCUGUGAAACACCAACUUGUUUGCUUCGGGGGCGACCCUGCCGUUUUCGACGGCGAGCGCCCCCGGAGACCAUCAAAACACUGCAUCUUUUGCGUCGGAGUUUUAAGUAAAUUAAACAA